RNAcentral lists this ribosomal RNA (192 nucleotides) under uncultured bacterium. RNAcentral's name for it is "partial 16S ribosomal RNA". It matches the Rfam family "Bacterial small subunit ribosomal RNA", at positions 338 to 521 of the family's 1533-position model. The record is from RNAcentral.
CCUACGGGAGGCAGCAGUGGGGAAUUUUUGGCAAUGGGGGAAACCCUGACCAAGCAACGCCGCGUGGAGGACGAAGGCCCUCGGGUCGUAAACUCCUGUCGGAGGGGACGAAAGCGAUUGGGGCGAAUAACCCCAGUUGUUGACGGUACCCUAUGAGGAAGCCCCGGCUAACUCCGUGCCAGCAGCCGCGGU